RNAcentral lists this ribosomal RNA (310 nucleotides) under uncultured bacterium. Its description in RNAcentral is "partial 16S ribosomal RNA". It matches the Rfam family "Bacterial small subunit ribosomal RNA", at positions 503 to 807 of the family's 1533-position model. The record is from RNAcentral.
AAGAGACAGCAGUAGCCGCGGGAAUACAGAGGGUGCGAGCGUUAAUCGGAUUUACUGGGCGUAAAGCGUGCGUAGGCGGCUAAUUGAGUCGGAUGUGAAAUCCCCGAGCUUAACUUGGGAAUUGCAUUCGAUACUGGUUAGCUAGAGUGUGGGAGAGGAUGGUAGAAUUCCAGGUGUAGCGGUGAAAUGCGUAGAGAUCUGGAGGAAUACCGAUGGCGAAGGCAGCCAUCUGGCCUAACACUGACGCUGAGGUACGAAAGCAUGGGGAGCAAACAGGAUUAGAUACCCGUGUAGUCCCUGUCUCUUAUAC